GGGUUGUGAGGUUAAGCGACUAAGCGUACACGGUGGAUGCCCUGGCAGUCAGAGGCGAUGAAGGACGUGCUAAUCUGCGAAAAGCGUCGGUAAGGUGAUAUGAACCGUUACAGCCGGCGAUGUCCGAAUGGGGAAACCCAGUGCAAUUCGUUGCACUAUCGUUAACUGAAUACAUAGGUUAACGAGGCGAACCGGGGGAACUGAAACAUCUAAGUACCCCGAGGAAAAGAAAUCAACCGAGAUUCCCCCAGUAGCGGCGAGCGAACGGGGAGCAGCCCGGAGUCUGAAUCAGCUUGUGUGUUAGUGGAAGCGUCUGGAAAGUCGCAGGGUACAGGGUGAUACUCCCGUACACUAAAACGCACAGGUUGUGAACUCGAAGAGUAGGGCGGGACACGUGGUAUCCUGUCUGAAUAUGGGGGGACCAUCCUCCAAGGCUAAAUACUCCUGACUGACCGAUAGUGAACCAGUACCGUGAGGGAAAGGCGAAAAGAACCCCGGCGAGGGGAGUGAAAAAGAACCUGAAACCGUGUACGUACAAGCAGUAGGAGCCCACUUGUUGGGUGACUGCGUACCUUUUGUAUAAUGGGUCAGCGACUUAUAUUCUGUAGCAAGGUUAACCGUAUAGGGGAGCCGCAGGGAAACCGAGUCUUAACUGGGCGUUAAGUUGCAGGGUAUAGACCCGAAACCCGGUGAUCUAGCCAUGGGCAGGUUGAAGGUUGGGUAACACUAACUGGAGGACCGAACCGACUAAUGUUGAAAAAUUAGCGGAUGACUUGUGGCUGGGGGUGAAAGGCCAAUCAAACCGGGAGAUAGCUGGUUCUCCCCGAAAGCUAUUUAGGUAGCGCCUCGUGAACUCAUCUUCGGGGGUAGAGCACUGUUUCGGCUAGGGGGUCAUCCCGACUUACCAACCCGAUGCAAACUACGAAUACCGAAGAAUGUUAUCACGGGAGACACACGGCGGGUGCUAACGUCCGUCGUGAAGAGGGAAACAACCCAGACCGCCAGCUAAGGUCCCAAAGUCAUGGUUAAGUGGGAAACGAUGUGGGAAGGCCCAGACAGCCAGGAUGUUGGCUUAGAAGCAGCCAUCAUUUAAAGAAAGCGUAAUAGCUCACUGGUCGAGUCGGCCUGCGCGGAAGAUGUAACGGGGCUAAACCAUGCACCGAAGCUGCGGCAGCGACACUAUGUGUUGUUGGGUAGGGGAGCGUUCUGUAAGCCGUUGAAGGUGGCCUGUGAGGGUUGCUGGAGGUAUCAGAAGUGCGAAUGCUGACAUAAGUAACGAUAAUGCGGGUGAAAAACCCGCACGCCGGAAGACCAAGGGUUCCUGUCCAACGUUAAUCGGGGCAGGGUGAGUCGACCCCUAAGGCGAGGCCGAAAGGCGUAGUCGAUGGGAAACAGGUUAAUAUUCCUGUACUCGGUGUUACUGCGAAGGGGGGACGGAGAAGGCUAUGUUGGCCGGGCGACGGUUGUCCCGGUUUAAGCAUGUAGGCGGAUGUUCCAGGUAAAUCCGGAACGUCACUAACGCUGAGGUGUGAUGACGAGGCACUACGGUGCUGAAGUGACAAAUGCCCUGCUUCCAGGAAAAGCCUCUAAGCAUCAGGUAACAUCAAAUCGUACCCCAAACCGACACAGGUGGUCAGGUAGAGAAUACCAAGGCGCUUGAGAGAACUCGGGUGAAGGAACUAGGCAAAAUGGUGCCGUAACUUCGGGAGAAGGCACGCUGAUGGUAAGUGAAGCGACUUGCUCGUGGAGCUGAAAUCAGUCGAAGAUACCAGCUGGCUGCAACUGUUUAUUAAAAACACAGCACUGUGCAAACACGAAAGUGGACGUAUACGGUGUGACGCCUGCCCGGUGCCGGAAGGUUAAUUGAUGGGGUUAUCCGUAAGGAGAAGCUCUUGAUCGAAGCCCCGGUAAACGGCGGCCGUAACUAUAACGGUCCUAAGGUAGCGAAAUUCCUUGUCGGGUAAGUUCCGACCUGCACGAAUGGCGUAAUGAUGGCCAGGCUGUCUCCACCCGAGACUCAGUGAAAUUGAACUCGCUGUGAAGAUGCAGUGUACCCGCGGCAAGACGGAAAGACCCCGUGAACCUUUACUAUAGCUUGACACUGAACACUGGUCCUUGAUGUGUAGGAUAGGUGGGAGGCUUUGAAGUGUGGACGCCAGUCUGCAUGGAGCCAUCCUUGAAAUACCACCCUUUAAUGGCUGGUGUUCUAACGUGGGCCCGUAAUCCGGGUUGCGGACAGUGUCUGGUGGGUAGUUUGACUGGGGCGGUCUCCUCCUAAAGAGUAACGGAGGAGCACGAAGGUCAGCUAAUCCUGGUCGGACAUCAGGAGGUUAGUGCAAUGGCAUAAGCUGGCUUGACUGCGAGCGUGACGGCGCGAGCAGGUGCGAAAGCAGGUCAUAGUGAUCCGGUGGUUCUGAAUGGAAGGGCCAUCGCUCAACGGAUAAAAGGUACUCCGGGGAUAACAGGCUGAUACCGCCCAAGAGUUCAUAUCGACGGCGGUGUUUGGCACCUCGAUGUCGGCUCAUCACAUCCUGGGGCUGAAGUAGGUCCCAAGGGUAUGGCUGUUCGCCAUUUAAAGUGGUACGCGAGCUGGGUUUAGAACGUCGUGAGACAGUUCGGUCCCUAUCUGCCGUGGGCGCUGGAGAAUUGAGGGGGGCUGCUCCUAGUACGAGAGGACCGGAGUGGACGCAUCACUGGUGUUCGGGUUGUCAUGCCAAUGGCAUUGCCCGGUAGCUAAAUGCGGAAGAGAUAAGUGCUGAAAGCAUCUAAGCACGAAACUUGCCCCGAGAUGAGUUCUCCCUGACUCCUUGAGAGUCCUGAAGGAACGUUGAAGACGACGACGUUGAUAGGCCGGGUGUGUAAGCGCAGCGAUGCGUUGAGCUAACCGGUACUAAUGAACCGUGAGGCUUAACCUUACAACGCCGAAG
Molecule: ribosomal RNA, 2927 nt
Filed under: Klebsiella michiganensis
Lineage: Bacteria; Pseudomonadati; Pseudomonadota; Gammaproteobacteria; Enterobacterales; Enterobacteriaceae
Description: 23S ribosomal RNA
Rfam family: Bacterial large subunit ribosomal RNA
Source: RNAcentral